RNAcentral lists this RNase P RNA (398 nucleotides) under Citromicrobium sp. RNAcentral's name for it is "RNase P RNA component class A". It matches the Rfam family "Bacterial RNase P class A". Rfam says of the family: Ribonuclease P (RNase P) is a ubiquitous endoribonuclease, found in archaea, bacteria and eukarya as well as chloroplasts and mitochondria. The record is from RNAcentral. Lineage: Bacteria; Pseudomonadati; Pseudomonadota; Alphaproteobacteria; Sphingomonadales; Sphingomonadaceae.
CCAGGAGGCUGGGCAGCCGCGUCACUUAUGUGCCGAGGAAAGUCCGGGCUCCACGAAGUAAGGGUGGCGGGUAACGCCCGCCGUGGGCGACCACAGGGAAAGUGCCACAGAGAGUAUACCGCCGACGUUCCUGCAAAGGAGCGGGCAAGGGUGAAAGGGUGCGGUAAGAGCGCACCGGGGGCCUGGUAACAGGUCCCGUCACGGCAAACCCCACCCGGAGCAAGGCCGAAUAGGGAUCCCGCGCCAGCCCAUCGUAAUAGAUGGCGGCAGGAACGCUUCGUUCCGAGGAGGUCCGGGUUGGCUGCUCGAGCGCGUCGGCAACGGCGCGCCUAGAUGAAUGGCUGCCCCCUGCCGUUUUGCGGCAGGGACAGAACCCGGCUUACAGGCCUCCUGGCACC